CACGUAGGGUCCGAGCGUUGUCCGGAUUUAUUGGGCGUAAAGGGCCCGUAGGCGGCUUGGUAAGUCGGGUGUGAAAACCCCAGGCUCAACCUGGGGACGCCACCCGAUACUGCUAUGGCUUGAGUCUGGUAGGGGAGUGCGGAACUCCUGGUGUAGCGGUGAAAUGCAUAGAUAUCAGGAAGAACACCGGUGGCGAAGGCGGCACUCUGGGCCAGUACUGACGCUGAUGGGCGAAAGCGUGGGGA
RNAcentral lists this ribosomal RNA (245 nucleotides) under uncultured bacterium. RNAcentral describes it as "partial 16S ribosomal RNA". It matches the Rfam family "Bacterial small subunit ribosomal RNA", at positions 524 to 767 of the family's 1533-position model. The record is from RNAcentral.